This 188-nucleotide ribosomal RNA is filed under the name uncultured bacterium. RNAcentral describes it as "partial 16S ribosomal RNA". It matches the Rfam family "Bacterial small subunit ribosomal RNA", at positions 340 to 519 of the family's 1533-position model. The record is from RNAcentral.
UACGGGAGGCAGCAGUGGGGAAUAUUGCGCAAUGGGGGAAACCCUGACGCAGCGACGCCGCGUGGACGAUGAAGGCCUUUGGGUUGUAAAAUCCUGUUCUGGGGGAAGAAACCUUAAGGGUCCAAUAAACCCUUAAGCUGACGGUACCCCAAGAGAAAGCUCCGGCUAAUUAUGUGCCAGCAGCCGCG